This 870-nucleotide long non-coding RNA is filed under the name Salvia miltiorrhiza (redroot sage). RNAcentral describes it as "long non-coding RNA (SMIL_LNC004771)". Lineage: Eukaryota; Viridiplantae; Streptophyta; Magnoliopsida; Lamiales; Lamiaceae. The record is from RNAcentral.
CUUGACUGGUGUGGUCUAAAAAUCUGGAAAAUUGAAAGCUCCCACUUUCCAUGCCUUGAGCGCCUUCGUCUUCGUGGACUAAAGAGGUUGCGGGAAAUCCCUUUAGAGUUCGCAGAAAUACCCACACUUAGAGAAAUUUUUGUGAAAGGGUGCAGUGAUUCGGCUGUGGUUUCUGUAAAAAGAAUAUCAGAGGAACACGAGGACUAUUACGGGGAAGGAGCCCUUCAAGUUCGCGUUGAGCUCUGGAGUGAGAACGAAGCAGGAGCGGAGAGCUUGGAUAGUCCUAACUAAUCACUACUACUAAGGUACACAAAAGAAAUUGUAGAUUUGGUUUAACUCUAGUUUUGAUUUGUAAAUUGUAAUACUCCAUUUGAGUGAUGGAACAAGUGUGCAGUGCAGGUACUCAGGUAGUGUGUGAGGAAAUUAAGCGCACACCACAGAAUGAAAUGAAUCCAUUGAUGCGUAUGCUCCUUUGUUUCUCUUUAUGUUUUGGCUUCUUUAUUUUGAAUUCUUUAUUCACUACCUUUUUUUCCGGCUAAUUCCACUUUUUCAUUGGCAGCAACCGAAAAACAAGUGGUAGAUAAAAAGAGAUGGCCAUAUAGUAUUCAUUUGGUUUUUGAGCUUCUAGUUUGGUUAAUUACUUGUGACAUUUUACUAUUUUUUGAGGCCUUAGUCAUUUUUUGACAAAGUCCGGUUGUAAUCUUUGACUUUUGCGUGUGGAUGUGGCUCGUUUUGUUUUCUUGUUCUUGGUUGUAAAUUUGUAAUAGACAAAUACUCUUUUCCUUUUUACGGAGUUUUUCCCACUGGAUUUUCUUCAAAUAGGUUUUGACAAGUCUCAUCCUUUAGUAAGCUGUUUUGUGCUCUUAAGGG